RNAcentral lists this transfer RNA (75 nucleotides) under Cordylochernes scorpioides. RNAcentral's name for it is "tRNA-Thr". The record is from RNAcentral. Lineage: Eukaryota; Metazoa; Arthropoda; Arachnida; Pseudoscorpiones; Chernetidae.
UGUCAAGGGAUGGGAAUCGAACCCACGACCUUCCGCUUACCGGGCAGAUGCCAUGACCACUAGGCCACAUACGAC